UGGGCCCAUAACCCAGAGGUCGAUGGA
RNAcentral lists this non-coding RNA (27 nucleotides) under Gallus gallus (chicken). Lineage: Eukaryota; Metazoa; Chordata; Aves; Galliformes; Phasianidae. RNAcentral also lists the same sequence under 5 other names. The record is from RNAcentral.